RNAcentral lists this ribosomal RNA (442 nucleotides) under uncultured bacterium. RNAcentral's name for it is "bacterial SSU rRNA". It matches the Rfam family "Bacterial small subunit ribosomal RNA", at positions 354 to 796 of the family's 1533-position model. The record is from RNAcentral.
GUGGGGAAUAUUGCGCAAUGGACGAAAGUCUGACGCAGCGACGCCGCGUGUAGGAUGACGCCUUUCGGGGUGUAAACUACUGUUGCCCGGGACGAAACUCCUUUUUCGAAAGGACUGACGGUACCGGGUGAGGAAGCACCGGCUAACUCUGUGCCAGCAGCCGCGGUAAUACAGAGGGUGCGAGCGUUGUCCGGAAUCACUGGGCGUAAAGGGUGCGUAGGUGGCUUGGUAAGCGUGUGGUGAAAGUCCGGGGCUCAACCCCGGAUCUGCCGUGCGAACUGCCGAGCUCGAGCAAUGUAGAGGCAGGUGGAAUUUCGGGUGUAGCGGUGGAAUGCGUAGAGAUCCGAAAGAACACCAGUGGCGAAGGCGGCCUGCUGGGCAUUUGCUGACACUGAGGCACGACAGCGUGGGGAGCAAACAGGAUUAGAUACCCCAGUAGUCC